This 383-nucleotide ribosomal RNA is filed under the name uncultured Bifidobacterium sp. RNAcentral describes it as "bacterial SSU rRNA". It matches the Rfam family "Bacterial small subunit ribosomal RNA", at positions 368 to 763 of the family's 1533-position model. The record is from RNAcentral. Lineage: Bacteria; Bacillati; Actinomycetota; Actinomycetes; Bifidobacteriales; Bifidobacteriaceae.
ACAAUGGGCGCAAGCCUGAUGCAGCGACGCCGCGUGAGGGAUGGAGGCCUUCGGGUUGUAAACCUCUUUUAUCGGGGAGCAAGCGUGAGUGAGUUUACCCGUUGAAUAAGCACCGGCUAACUACGUGCCAGCAGCCGCGGUAAUACGUAGGGUGCAAGCGUUAUCCGGAAUUAUUGGGCGUAAAGGGCUCGUAGGCGGUUCGUCGCGUCCGGUGUGAAAGUCCAUCGCUUAACGGUGGAUCCGCGCCGGGUACGGGCGGGCUUGAGUGCGGUAGGGGAGACUGGAAUUCCCGGUGUAACGGUGGAAUGUGUAGAUAUCGGGAAGAACACCAAUGGCGAAGGCAGGUCUCUGGGCCGUUACUGACGCUGAGGAGCGAAAGCGUG